CAGUAGCCACGGUAAUACGAAGGGUGCAAGCGUUACCCGGAAUUACUGGGCGUAAAGCGUGCGUAGGUGGUUCGUUAAGUCUGAUGUGAAAGCCCUGGGCUCAACCUGGGAAUUGCAUUGGAUACUGGCGAGCUAGAGUGCGGUAGAGGGUAGUGGAAUUCCCGGUGUAGCAGUGAAAUGCGUAGAGAUCGGGAGGAACAUCUGUGGCGAAGGCGACUGCCUGGACCAGCACUGACACUGAGGCACGAAAGCGUGGGGAGCAAACAGGAUUAGAUACCCCCGUAGUCCCUGUCUCUUAUAC
This 301-nucleotide ribosomal RNA is filed under the name uncultured bacterium. RNAcentral's name for it is "partial 16S ribosomal RNA". It matches the Rfam family "Bacterial small subunit ribosomal RNA", at positions 509 to 807 of the family's 1533-position model. The record is from RNAcentral.